UUAAGCGACUAAGCGUACACGGUGGAUGCCCUGGCAGUCAGAGGCGAUGAAGGGCGUGCUAAUCUGCGAUAAGCGCCGGUAAGGUGAUAUGAACCGUUAUAACCGGCGAUACCCGAAUGGGGAAACCCAGUGUGACUCGUCACACUAUCAUUAACUGAAUCCAUAGGUUAAUGAGGCGAACCGGGGGAACUGAAACAUCUAAGUACCCCGAGGAAAAGAAAUCAACCGAGAUUCCCCCAGUAGCGGCGAGCGAACGGGGAGGAGCCCAGAGCCUGAAUCAGCAUGUGUGUUAGUGGAAGCGUCUGGAAAGGCGCGCGAUACAGGGUGACAGCCCCGUACACAAAAGCGCAUGUGCUGUGAGCUCGAUGAGUAGGGCGGGACACGUGGUAUCCUGUCUGAAUAUGGGGGGACCAUCCUCCAAGGCUAAAUACUCCUGACUGACCGAUAGUGAACCAGUACCGUGAGGGAAAGGCGAAAAGAACCCCGGCGAGGGGAGUGAAAAAGAACCUGAAACCGUGUACGUACAAGCAGUGGGAGCACAGGUUUACCUGUGUGACUGCGUACCUUUUGUAUAAUGGGUCAGCGACUUAUAUUCUGUAGCAAGGUUAACCGUAUAGGGGAGCCGUAGGGAAACCGAGUCUUAACCGGGCGUUAAGUUGCAGGGUAUAGACCCGAAACCCGGUGAUCUAGCCAUGGGCAGGUUGAAGGUUGGGUAACACUAACUGGAGGACCGAACCGACUAAUGUUGAAAAAUUAGCGGAUGACCUGUGGCUGGGGGUGAAAGGCCAAUCAAACCGGGAGAUAGCUGGUUCUCCCCGAAAGCUAUUUAGGUAGCGCCUCGUGAAUUCAUCUCCGGGGGUAGAGCACUGUUUCGGCUAGGGGGCCAUCCCGGCUUACCAACCCGAUGCAAACUGCGAAUACCGGAGAAUGUUAUCACGGGAGACACACGGCGGGUGCUAACGUCCGUCGUGAAGAGGGAAACAACCCAGACCGCCAGCUAAGGUCCCAAAGUCAUGGUUAAGUGGGAAACGAUGUGGGAAGGCCCAGACAGCCAGGAUGUUGGCUUAGAAGCAGCCAUCAUUUAAAGAAAGCGUAAUAGCUCACUGGUCGAGUCGGCCUGCGCGGAAGAUGUAACGGGGCUAAACCAUGCACCGAAGCUGCGGCAGCGACGCUGAUGCGUUGUUGGGUAGGGGAGCGUUCUGUAAGCCUGUGAAGGUGGCCUGUGAGGGUUGCUGGAGGUAUCAGAAGUGCGAAUGCUGACAUAAGUAACGAUAAAGCGGGUGAAAAGCCCGCUCGCCGGAAGACCAAGGGUUCCUGUCCAACGUUAAUCGGGGCAGGGUGAGUCGACCCCUAAGGCGAGGCCGAAAGGCGUAGUCGAUGGGAAACGGGUUAAUAUUCCCGUACUUGGUGUUACUGCGAAGGGGGGACGGAGAAGGCUAUGUUGGCCGGGCGACGGUUGUCCCGGUUUAAGCGUGUAGGUGUGUGUUCCAGGUAAAUCCGGUUCACUUUAACACUGAGGCGUGAUGACGAGGCACUACGGUGCUGAAGCAACAAAUGCCCUGCUUCCAGGAAAAGCCUCUAAGCAUCAGGUAACAUCAAAUCGUACCCCAAACCGACACAGGUGGUCAGGUAGAGAAUACCAAGGCGCUUGAGAGAACUCGGGUGAAGGAACUAGGCAAAAUGGUGCCGUAACUUCGGGAGAAGGCACGCUGACACGUAGGUGAAGUGAUUUACUCAUGGAGCUGAAGUCAGUCGAAGAUACCAGCUGGCUGCAACUGUUUAUUAAAAACACAGCACUGUGCAAACACGAAAGUGGACGUAUACGGUGUGACGCCUGCCCGGUGCCGGAAGGUUAAUUGAUGGGGUCAGCGCAAGCGAAGCUCCUGAUCGAAGCCCCGGUAAACGGCGGCCGUAACUAUAACGGUCCUAAGGUAGCGAAAUUCCUUGUCGGGUAAGUUCCGACCUGCACGAAUGGCGUAAUGAUGGCCAGGCUGUCUCCACCCGAGACUCAGUGAAAUUGAACUCGCUGUGAAGAUGCAGUGUACCCGCGGCAAGACGGAAAGACCCCGUGAACCUUUACUAUAGCUUGACACUGAACAUUGAGCCUUGAUGUGUAGGAUAGGUGGGAGGCUUUGAAGCGUGGACGCCAGUCUGCAUGGAGCCGGCCUUGAAAUACCACCCUUUAAUGUUUGAUGUUCUAACGUGGACCCGUGAUCCGGGUUGCGGACAGUGUCUGGUGGGUAGUUUGACUGGGGCGGUCUCCUCCUAAAGAGUAACGGAGGAGCACGAAGGUUGGCUAAUCCUGGUCGGACAUCAGGAGGUUAGUGCAAUGGCAUAAGCCAGCUUGACUGCGAGCGUGACGGCGCGAGCAGGUGCGAAAGCAGGUCAUAGUGAUCCGGUGGUUCUGAAUGGAAGGGCCAUCGCUCAACGGAUAAAAGGUACUCCGGGGAUAACAGGCUGAUACCGCCCAAGAGUUCAUAUCGACGGCGGUGUUUGGCACCUCGAUGUCGGCUCAUCACAUCCUGGGGCUGAAGUAGGUCCCAAGGGUAUGGCUGUUCGCCAUUUAAAGUGGUACGCGAGCUGGGUUUAGAACGUCGUGAGACAGUUCGGUCCCUAUCUGCCGUGGGCGCUGGAGAACUGAGGGGGGCUGCUCCUAGUACGAGAGGACCGGAGUGGACGCAUCACUGGUGUUCGGGUUGUCAUGCCAAUGGCACUGCCCGGUAGCUAAAUGCGGAAGAGAUAAGUGCUGAAAGCAUCUAAGCACGAAACUUGCCCCGAGAUGAGUUCUCCCUGAGACUUAGAGUCUCCUGAAGGAACGUUGAAGACGACGACGUUGAUAGGCCGGGUGUGUAAGCGCAGCGAUGCGUUGAGCUAACCGGUACUAAUGAACCGUGAGGCUUAACCU
RNAcentral lists this ribosomal RNA (2905 nucleotides) under Salmonella enterica subsp. enterica serovar Paratyphi C. Its description in RNAcentral is "23S ribosomal RNA". It matches the Rfam family "Bacterial large subunit ribosomal RNA". The record is from RNAcentral. Lineage: Bacteria; Pseudomonadati; Pseudomonadota; Gammaproteobacteria; Enterobacterales; Enterobacteriaceae.